This is a non-coding RNA of Mus musculus (house mouse), 305 nucleotides long. The record is from Rfam. Lineage: Eukaryota; Metazoa; Chordata; Mammalia; Rodentia; Muridae.
UAAUGUGAUGGGGAUUCCUCCCACACCAGAUGCUGCCUCAUUGCCUCAUUGAUCCACAGGGUGGAUUCAGCUGACCUGGCUGGCUACGUAGGAGUUCCCUGUUUCUCUCACCACUCUCUCAGUGUACAUACUGAAGCUGCCUGCUCUGGGGAAGAGGACCAUUUUCAGUGGAUGGAAUCCUAGCAGUUGUGCUCCCUGCUAAACUUCCAAACCAAUCAAGGAUAGAGGAACGCAUCUGAGGAUCUUGUGUCAGGGGCCAUAGGAAUCAUCAUCAUGACCACCUAGGUGGUGUGUUGCCUGCCAAG